CCCUGGGGUCCGGGCUUCCAAGGGGGACACGGGGUCUGUGCUGGACAGAGGACAACAGAGGCUGCACAUUGUGCCCCCUUCGUACCCCCACAGUUUGCCUGGCUUUACUGUGUUCUUACCCUGAGCCUGCAGGAGCCAGGAAGGAGAGGGAAUCAGGUGGCCCUUGGGCCUGAGGAGGGAGCACCGAGGGAGAGGGAGGCAGGAUGGUUCCAGGCUUGGAGGGGUGCAAGAGGCAGAGGGAGGCGCCAGCCUGUUGCUUUCACAGGGGGCGGGGUGUGGCUGUGGACGUGGGGUGCAGCUGGUCCUAGAGAUGAAGCCUGAAGGACACAGACCACCUGCCAAGUGGGCGGCAGACAGUGGUGUGGCCAGAGCCCUCCCGCCCACGUCCACGAGGCUGGCAGAUUCCGAUGCUGCACCUGACACAUCUGUUCAGACCCCUUCCUCUUUGGAAAUGCACCUCGCCACAAGCUUCCUCUUUCCCUUCCAUCCUCCAUGGGCCUGGGGAGGCGACAGCAGCUUCUGGCUGUCCUGUCUGGGCUGCACCCCCAGCACCCCAGGACUGGGUGCCACCCUCAGGGUGCAGGCUGCUCCUGCACAUCUGGCCCUGGGCCUGGGACCUCGUGGGCCAGCUGGGGUGGGGCGGCCCCCUCUGCCCUUGCUCAGGCUGCUACAUUCUCGUCCGCAGCACUUCCGUAGCCCUGACAGGAAAUGCUGCAGUCUCAACCUCCGCCAUCUCAGGCAACUUCUUGUUUCCCAGUUGCCCUGUGCUAGCCCUGGGGUUGUGCCCCUUGGCUCCACCCCCAGCACUUUCCCAGGGCCCGGUCCCAGCAGCUCAGAGGGGACAGGAUGGUGGACGUGAUUGCUAAACUGACCAGGAGGCAGAGCCAGGCCCUGCGGGUUCAGAGUGACCGGCGACCCCAGCCACCUGCUUCCUCCGCGGGGCGGGCACUCGCCCUCCUUCCCCCUCCACGAGCCCUGGCUGUGGAUGCUGAUGCCUGCGACUCCCACACUGGAAAGUGCAGGCCCCACCCAGAAGGGUUCGGACCCCAGGGCUCCCUGGGCUGAGC
Molecule: long non-coding RNA, 1067 nt
Filed under: Heterocephalus glaber (naked mole-rat)
Lineage: Eukaryota; Metazoa; Chordata; Mammalia; Rodentia; Bathyergidae
Description: lncRNA (ENSHGLG00100051559.1)
Source: RNAcentral